UGAGAAUGUAGGUUUGAUCCCUGGCCUCACUCAGUGAGUUAAGGAUCUGGCAUUGCCUUGAGCUGUGGAGCUGUGGUAUAGGUUGCUGAUGUGGAUUGGAUCCCAUGUUACUGUGGCUGUGGUGUGUGUAGGCCACAGCUCUGAUUUGACCCUAAGCCUGGGAACUUACAUAUGCUGGGGGUGGGGAGGGGAAGCAAAACACAGUGAAGUGAGGUUAUAAUGAAAAAGAAUAACUCUUCAGUAGACCUAAUGCCUAGCCCUGACUCUGUCCUUAGCCAACUAGGUGAUUUUGAGAAUAUAUAUGGCCUGAUUUAUCUGUGAAAAAAGAGGGUAGGGGCAAGGUUAUUUAAAAAAAAUUCAAUUCCAAUUAUAAAUUAAUGUAAUUUUAGAACACAAGCUUGUGAAGUUGAUUAAGGAGGUAUUGUGUUUUUCAAAUGGGGGAAUUGAGGCAAACAAAGUCACUUAUUUAAACUCUCUUCUUUUGUAUGGGAUGAAACUCAUGGAUGGAGUUAAAUGAAAAACUCCUGACUCAUUCUAAACACAUGCCACUUUCUACUACUUCUUGGAAGAAAUAUUGAAUGCAAUAAAAUACUCAGCUGUGUGUAAGUGAUUUGAGUUCCGUGUAUUGCUUUUUCUUUUUGUGCCUAAGUAUAUAUCAGUAAUUAUCCUAAUUUGAUUUGCUGCCAUUUGAAUAAAAUGGAAAAAACCAGCACUUGUCUUAGUUUCCAACUGACUUCAUUUUUUCCUGCUAGCAGAUUUUCUGUCUAGUUAUGUCUCAGAUGGAAUGACUUGACAGAUUCCUUUUAAGUUAAAAUCAUUGACUCAAUUAUGGAAUAUCCUCUUUGUGCAUAAUGAUAUUGUGAGACAUCCUGAAGGAGGACAGACAUGAUGUCUUCCCCAAAUGAUCUCAUUAUCUAGUUUAGGAGAUGAAAUAAACUGAUGGGAAACAAACAGAGAGUGACACACUUUUGGUGUAGCAUCCGGGUUUGGCGAUCCCUUCUACUAAACUGUAUUCUGUGUAGAUAUUAAACAUAACCCUUUCUUAUAAUGUAUCUAAUUCUCCUAGUUCAUUGUUUUUGUGGAGAAAGGCACUGAACCACAUUUUGGGGUGGAAGCAUCUAGAGAUGAUUAUAGCUUUCUUUCUUUUGAAUCAUUGUUAUUGUGGUAAAAUACACAUAACAUACUAUUUAUCAUUUUGACCAUUCAUACGUGUAGAAAUUUGAUGGCAUUACAUACAUUCAUAAUGUUUUGUAACCAUCAUCACUGUGUGUACUCAAAACUUUCUAUCAUCCCCAACAUAAAUUCUGUACCCAUUAAAAAAUAACUCCCUAUUCUUUUUCUACUUUCUGUCUUUAUGAAUUUGUCUAUUCUAGGUACUUCAUAUACGAGGAAUCAUACAAUAUUUGCACUUUUAUGUCUUGCCUAUUUUACUAAGUUGUAUUUUCAAGGGUCAAAACGUCAUUCCUUUUUGUGCUUGAAAGAUAUUCCACUGUACGUAUAUACUACAUUGAUUUAUCCAUUCAUCUGUUAAUUGAUAUGAGUUGUUACUACCUUUUGGCUAUUGUGAAUAACUCUGCCAUGAACUCCAGUGUUCACAUAUCUGUUUGAGUUUCUACUUUUAAUUAUUUUGGAUGUAUACCUCGGGGUGGAAUUUCUGGGUCAUGUAGUUUUAUGUUUAACCUUUGGGAAACCACUAAACUUUUUUCCAAGUGGCUACACCAUUUUACAUUCCUACUAGCAAUGUAUGAAGAUAGCAGUUUCUAAGCAUCCUCACUAACACUUCUUUCAUUGUAGCCUUCAUAGUAGAUGUGAAGUGGUACCUCAUUUUGGUUUUUACAUUUCCUUAAUGAUUAGUGAUGUUUAUCGUAUGCUUAUCAAAGCUUUCUUUUAUAAAAUAUAUACUAAAGCAUAGUUUGUGUCUAUGUUUUAUAGAUGAAUUACUUGAUAACCUUUACACACACCCUUGAUGUCAAUAUCUGUUCUUUCCCAGGGCUUGGACAAUUAUAUCUGGAGGUGACAAGUCGAGACUCCCUGUUUUUUUGUAUGUUUUUGUUUUGUUUUUGUCUUUGUCCUUUAAAAUAAAUCUUCCAUAUAUUUAACUUCCUUUUUGACAGUAAUAUACUGUAUUUUUAAAAAGGAAACCAUUGUAGCAGCUGUUGAAAGCAAACAAAGAUACAUGAAAUGGUUUUAAAGUUGUUAUAGUAAUGAUGAUUAGGGAGAAGGGUGUUGAGCAAAGAUCAAUUUAAUCCAAAUGACUAUUAACUUGUCACUUUUAUAUUUAUAAAACAAC
This 2290-nucleotide long non-coding RNA is filed under the name Sus scrofa (pig). RNAcentral's name for it is "lncRNA (ENSSSCG00015055335.1)". The record is from RNAcentral. Lineage: Eukaryota; Metazoa; Chordata; Mammalia; Artiodactyla; Suidae.